RNAcentral lists this ribosomal RNA (473 nucleotides) under uncultured organism. RNAcentral's name for it is "partial 16S ribosomal RNA". It matches the Rfam family "Bacterial small subunit ribosomal RNA", at positions 335 to 799 of the family's 1533-position model. The record is from RNAcentral.
ACUCCUGCGGGAGGCAGCAGUGGGGAAUUUUGGACAAUGGGGGCAACCCUGAUCCAGCAAUGCCGCGUGAGUGAAGAAGGCCUUCGGGUUGUAAAGCUCUUUUGUCAGGGAAGAAACGGUGGUGGCGAAUAACUACUACUAAUGACGGUACCUGAAGAAUAAGCACCGGCUAACUACGUGCCAGCAGCCGCGGUAAUACGUAGGGUGCAAGCGUUAAUCGGAAUUACUGGGCGUAAAGCGUGCGCAGGCGGUUGUGUAAGUCAGAGGUGAAAUCCCCGGGCUCAACCUGGGAAUUGCAUUUGAGACUGCACGGCUAGAGUGUGUCAGAGGGGGGUAGAAUUCCACGUGUAGCAGUGAAAUGCGUAGAUAUGUGGAGGAAUACCGAUGGCGAAGGCAGCCCCCUGGGAUAACACUGACGCUCAUGCACGAAAGCGUGGGGAGCAAACAGGAUUAGAAACCCGUGUAGUCCCAUG